Molecule: non-coding RNA, 1830 nt
Organism: Epinephelus lanceolatus (giant grouper)
Lineage: Eukaryota; Metazoa; Chordata; Actinopteri; Perciformes; Serranidae
Source: RefSeq, a predicted model, not a curated record
UGUGUUCAGACCUGUGUGAAAAACAGAGUGAAAAAAUUGAAGUUCCCCUCGGGGAUUAAUAAAGUGUAUAUAUAAAAAAAAAAAAAAAAAUUGUAUGUGAGGCCAGCCAACCAUUUUCUGUGGUUGAGACACCACCCUUCAAGACUAUGAUAGAAACCUUGCAACCUCAUACAGUAAUGACAAGGAAAACGUUAUGCACAAGAAUUCAGGAAGCUGCAAAACACAAGAAAAGCAUAAUCAUCAAAAAGCUGAGUGCUGUGAACUAUGUUGCUACCACAACAGACUGCUGGUCUGCCAGACAAUGUAGCUACCUAGGUGUCACCUGUCACUGGAUAGACAACACCUCACUGGAGAGGCACUCCGCUACAUUGGCUUAUAGACCCGUCAAAGGCUCGCACAUGUUUGACAUCCUUGCUGCCGCAUUAGAGGAAAUACAUUCUGAGUACCACAUCAGGGAAAUAGUGACCAGGACGACAACAGACAGUGGCUCAAACUUCCUGAAGGCCUUUUGAUUAUAUGGUGAGGAGACAGAGGAGGAAGCCACCAAUGUACAAGAGGAGAGUGACUCCACCCUUGAUGAUGCAACAGUAGAUGAGAGUGAGUCAGAGGUGGAGUAUCAAGAUGUGUCUGCUAUUCUGGAUGACAACACAGGCCUUGAGUACCAACUUCCAAGGCACCAAAAGUGUGCAUGCCAUCUCCUCGAUUUUAUAUCCACAGUUAAUGCCACUGCUGCAGGAGGAGCUGCCAAUGAAACCUACAAGAGGCUCUCUCGGUCUGCUUUUGCAAAAUGUCACACUCUUUGGAAUAACACCAGCAGGUCAACCAUGGCUCAUGAAACAGCGGAACGUGAAUGCAAGCUGCAGUUUCUCCGACCCAAUCAGACACGUUGGAGCACCCUGUUCCUCGCCGUAGAAAGGAUUAUGUGCAUCCACAGAGAGCAAGGAGAACAAGCAAUUCGCAAUGUCUGCACAGCAUUAAAGAUAAAGAUGGGAAUCAUCGGUGCAUAUGGGCCUCCUGCUGCCAACACUUUACCAGUUGCGGGACAAGCUGAAGUCAUCUUGCAAAAUAUGUACACCUCUUGUUCACGCCCUGCAGAGAGGGAUCCAGAAACGUUUUGGGGGCGUCAUGAAAGAGCCUGAGCUGAUUGCAGCAGCAAUACUCUUACCAAGAUUCAGAACAUCCUGGACCACAGAGGAGAACAUCUUAAAUGCUGGCCUUGACUACAUCAGAAAUCACCUCGACACCGACUUGGGUGAUGUCACCAGCACAAACAGCAGCCUCUCUGAUGAAGACGACUUCUUUGCAUCCAUGGAGUCAGGAAAGUCAUAAGUAGGAGAGCUGGAGAGGUACCUUUCAUGUCUGUCCACUGCAGGUAUGGAUCUACUCCACACCUUUCCUCACAUCAAGAAGCUGUCACUCAAAGUCAACACAGGUCUUCCUGCAUCUGCAUCCUGUGAAAGACUUUUAAGUCAUGCAGGACUCCUGUUCACUGCUAAACGAUCACAGCUUCACUGCAAGAACCUUGAGAGCCAACUACUGUUGAAGCUUAAUAGUCACAUCACUGAGUGAUUCUUUGGUGAAAAUUUUUGUUUCUGCAUUGUUUUGUCACAAACACACAGACUCAAACACACACAUGCACAGUUUCAGAGUUUAUGGGCUGCCUUGUUCUAGUUCUGCCUGCUGAGCCUGGUGAAAAAGUAAAAAGGUUUGGAAAUUUGUGUUACUUGUGCUGUAAUUUGAGUUAUUUUGUAAAUAUUUAAUUUAUUUUUAUUUUUGAUUUAUUCUGUUAUUAUUUUAUUGAUUUUAUUUUUUAUUGAAGUACUUGAAUUU